RNAcentral lists this ribosomal RNA (215 nucleotides) under uncultured fungus. RNAcentral describes it as "partial 28S ribosomal RNA". It matches the Rfam family "Eukaryotic large subunit ribosomal RNA", at positions 24 to 233 of the family's 3401-position model. Lineage: Eukaryota; Fungi. The record is from RNAcentral.
CCCGCUGAACUUAAGCAUAUCAAUAAGCGGAGGAAAAGAAACUAACAAGGAUUCCCCUAGUAACUGCGAGUGAAGCGGGAAAAGCUCAAAUUUAAAAUCUGGUGGCCUUUGGCCAUCCGAGUUGUAAUUUAGAGAAGCGUCUUCCGCGCUGGACCGUGCACAAGUCUCCUGGAAUGGAGCGUCGUAGAGGGUGAGAAUCCCGUCUUGAAACACGG